AGAUGAUGGUUGAUGUGUUUGCUA
Molecule: non-coding RNA, 24 nt
Filed under: Arabidopsis thaliana (thale cress)
Lineage: Eukaryota; Viridiplantae; Streptophyta; Magnoliopsida; Brassicales; Brassicaceae
Source: RNAcentral